This is a non-coding RNA of Mycena latifolia, 98 nucleotides long. NCBI's taxonomy places the organism in Eukaryota, Fungi, Basidiomycota, Agaricomycetes, Agaricales, Mycenaceae. The record is from the annotation of a GenBank genome assembly.
GGCUCGGUAGCGGAUGGUCCGCGUCUGCCUACAUUGGAUGUGUCCACGGUGAUGCCAAUUUCAACAGAAAUCCGCUCGUUCGACUCGAGCCCGAGCCA